RNAcentral lists this ribosomal RNA (494 nucleotides) under uncultured bacterium. RNAcentral's name for it is "partial 16S ribosomal RNA". It matches the Rfam family "Bacterial small subunit ribosomal RNA", at positions 28 to 523 of the family's 1533-position model. The record is from RNAcentral.
GAUGAACGCUAGCGGCAGGCCUAACACAUGCAAGUCGAGGGGUAGUUGUCUUCGGACAAUGAGACCGGCGCACGGGUGCGUAACGCGUAUGCAAUCUACCUUAUACUAAGGGAUGGCCCAGAGAAAUUUGGAUUAAUACCUUAUAGUUAAUAGAGUUGGCAUCGACUUUAUUAUAAAGAUUAAUUGGUAUAAGAUGAGCAUGCGUCCCAUUAGUUAGUUGGUAAGGUAACGGCUUACCAAGACGAUGAUGGGUAGGGGUCCUGAGAGGGAGAUCCCCCACACUGGUACUGAGACACGGACCAGACUCCUACGGGAGGCAGCAGUGAGGAAUAUUGGUCAAUGGGCGCAAGCCUGAACCAGCCAUGCCGCGUGCAGGAUGAAGCAUCUACGGUGUGUAAACUGCUUUUGUACGGGAAGAAAAAAAGCUACGUGUAGCUUACUGACGGUACCGUAAGAAUAAGGAUCGGCUAACUCCGUGCCAGCAGCCGCGGUAA